Molecule: long non-coding RNA, 290 nt
Filed under: Elaeis guineensis (African oil palm)
Lineage: Eukaryota; Viridiplantae; Streptophyta; Magnoliopsida; Arecales; Arecaceae
Description: long non-coding RNA (EGUI_LNC057674)
Source: RNAcentral
ACCAAAUGUACGCUGGAACCUUGCACAACAGAUAUUUAGAUCUAAAUUCUAAUAAAAUUUUGCACUACAUCAAAAUAGAUUUAACCAAAAAUUUAGUCAUUAUGCGUUCAUAUUUGCAUCUAAUUAAUUUUCUAUAUGAUAUUAGAUUUGAAAUUGAUAUUUUAUAAUUAGCAUAAGAUAUAUUUUAGAUCUGAUAUGAUGUAUAUGAUGCAUCAAAUCUAAUUAGAUUAGAUGAAGAACAUGAUUAAUAAGAUUAAGGAUAUGUUCAUGACAUAAACUGUUUUAUUAAA